RNAcentral lists this unclassified non-coding RNA (338 nucleotides) under soil metagenome. Its description in RNAcentral is "partial contains 5.8S ribosomal RNA, internal transcribed spacer 2, and large subunit ribosomal RNA". The stretch from base 1 to 120 matches the Rfam family "5.8S ribosomal RNA", at positions 35 to 154 of the family's 154-position model. The record is from RNAcentral.
GAUGAAGAACGCAGCGAAAUGCGAUAAGUAAUGUGAAUUGCAGAAUUCAGUGAAUCAUCGAAUCUUUGAACGCACAUUGCGCCCAUUAGUAUUCUAGUGGGCAUGCCUAUUCGAGCGUCAUUUCAACCCUUAAGCCUCUGUUGCUUAGCGUUGGGAGCCUACCUACCCGGUAGAUCCUCAAAGUUAGCUGGCAGGGUCGAGGUUCGCCCUAAGCGUAGUAGUUCUUUCUCGCUUCUGCGGCUGCCUAGGCCAUCGCCUCAAGCCUUUUAAACUUCAAUGGUUGACCUCGGAUCAGGUAGGAAUACCCGCUGAACUUAAGCAUAUCAAUAAGCGGAGGA